This 229-nucleotide unclassified non-coding RNA is filed under the name plant metagenome. Its description in RNAcentral is "partial contains small subunit ribosomal RNA, internal transcribed spacer 1, and 5.8S ribosomal RNA". The record is from RNAcentral.
UCUCCGUAGGUGAACCUGCGGAGGGAUCAUUACAGAGUUUAUGCCCUACCGGGUAAAUCUCCCACCCUAUGUUAUUAUUACUUUGUUGCUUUGGCGGGCCGUUAGGCUCCGGCCCGACUACCGGCCCCGGCUGGUAAGCGCCCGCCAGAGGACCCAAAACCCUGAAUAUUAGUGUCGUCUGAGUACUAUAUAAUAGUUAAAACUUUCAACAACGGAUCUCUUGGUUCUG